UAGCUAGUUGGUGAGGUAACGGCCCACCAAGGCGACGAUCGGUAGCCGGACUGAGAGGUUGAACGGCCACAUUGGGACUGAGACACGGCCCAGACUCCUACGGGAGGCAGCAGUGGGGAAUAUUGCACAAUGGGGGAAACCCUGAUGCAGCGACGCCGCGUGGAGGAAGAAGGUCUUCGGAUUGUAAACUCCUGUUGUUGGGGAAGAUAAUGACGGUACCCAACAAGGAAGUGACGGCUAACUACGUGCCAGCAGCCGCGGUAAAACGUAGGUCACAAGCGUUGUCCGGAAUUACUGGGUGUAAAGGGAGCGCAGGCGGGAAGACAAGUUGGAAGUGAAAUCUAUGGGCUCAACCCAUAAACUGCUUUCAAAACUGUUUUUCUUGAGUAGUGCAGAGGUAGGCGGAAUUCCCGGUGUAGCGGUGGAAUGCGUAGAUAUCGGGAGGAACACCAGUGGCGAAGGCGGCCUACUGGGCACCAACUGACGCUGAGGCUCGAAAGUGUGGGUAGCAAACAGGAUUAGAUACCCUGGUAGUCCACACCGUAAACGAUGAUUACUAGGUGUUGGAGGAUUGACCCCUUCAGUGCCGCAGUUAACACAAUAAGUAAUCCACCUGGGGAGUACGACCGCAAGGUUGAAACUCAAAGGAAUUGACGGGGGCCCGCACAAGCAGUGGAGUAUGUGGUUUAAUUCGACGCAACGCGAAGAACCUUACCAAGUCUUGACAUCCCUUGACAGGCAUAGAAAUAUGUUUUCUCUUCGGAGCAAGGAGACAGGUGGUGCAUGGUUGUCGUCAGCUCGUGUCGUGAGAUGUUGGGUUAAGUCCCGCAACGAGCGCAACCCUUAUGGUCAGUUACUACGCAAGAGGACUCUGGCCAGACUGCCGUUGACAAAACGGAGGAAGGUGGGGAUGACGUCAAAUCAUCAUGCCCUUUAUGACUUGGGCUACACACGUACUACAAUGGCGUUAAACAAAGAGAAGCGAGACCGCGAGGUGGAGCAAAACUCAGAAACAACGUCCCAGUUCGGACUGCAGGCUGCAACUCGCCUGCACGAAGUCGGAAUUGCUAGUAAUCGUGGAUCAGCAUGCCACGGUGAAUACGUUCCCGGGCCUUGUACACACCGCCCGUCACACCAUGAGAGCCGGGGGGACCCGAAGUCGGUAGUCUAACCGCAAGGAGGACGCCGCCGAAGGUAAAACUGGUGAUUGGGGUGAAGUCGUAACAAGGUAACCGUACUAGUACGAGACCUG
RNAcentral lists this ribosomal RNA (1252 nucleotides) under metagenome. RNAcentral describes it as "bacterial SSU rRNA". It matches the Rfam family "Bacterial small subunit ribosomal RNA", at positions 242 to 1533 of the family's 1533-position model. The record is from RNAcentral.